Pelodiscus sinensis (Chinese soft-shelled turtle) is the source of this 471-nucleotide non-coding RNA. NCBI's taxonomy places the organism in Eukaryota, Metazoa, Chordata, Testudines, Trionychidae. The record is from RefSeq and is a predicted model, not a curated record.
ACUUGGUACCCAGUACAAAUUUGUUCAGCCUUUGCUUGUCUCUUAAAAUCCUCAUAUUCUAAAUUACACUGAUAUAAAGAUUCAGCCUGCUCAGGGCUGUGGUUGCUACAGAAGAGGAAUUCAGGAAAUGAGCUGUUUGUGGCAAAGACUCUCUCAUCAUCAGUUUUUGAACAGCACCCAGCAUAUUAAUCUCAUUCUGGAAAUGACUCUCCAUGACUCUUGCUUGUUAAAAAAGAACAAAAAUGAAGGAAGAAAGAUGAAAAGGAGAUAAAAAUUAUACAAAGUACAAACCUGAUACUAAUAGUUUCCAGUGGACAUCAAGAACUGAAUUGCAGUUUAUCACUGAAGAGAUAUGUACAUUUCCAAGCCCAAGCAACUGUUUGCAGUGUAGUUCAGGUUCAAUCCUGGUUCUUUGCAGCAGGUCAAAUGGAGAAAUUCACAUGCUGGAAGUCAUAAGGGGCUUGAUUCUCU